RNAcentral lists this ribosomal RNA (480 nucleotides) under uncultured bacterium. Its description in RNAcentral is "partial 16S ribosomal RNA". It matches the Rfam family "Bacterial small subunit ribosomal RNA", at positions 28 to 523 of the family's 1533-position model. The record is from RNAcentral.
GACGAACGCUGGCGGCGUGCUUAACACAUGCAAGUCGAACGGAAAGGCCCUGCUUGCAGGGUACUCGAGUGGCGAACGGGUGAGUAACACGUGGGUGAUCUGCCCUGCACUUCGGGAUAAGCCUGGGAAACUGGGUCUAAUACCGGAUAGGACCAUCGUUUAGUGUCGGUGGUGGAAAGUUUUUCGGUGCAGGAUGAGCUCGCGGCCUAUCAGCUUGUUGGUGGGGUAAUGGCCUACCAAGGCGUCGACGGGUAGCCGGCCUGAGAGGGUGGACGGCCACAUUGGGACUGAGACACGGCCCAGACUCCUACGGGAGGCAGCGGUGGGGAAUAUUGCACAAUGGGCGCAAGGCUGAUGCAGCGACGCCGCGUGGGGGAUGAAGGCCUUCGGGUUGUAAACUCCUCUCAACCAUGACGAAGCAUUAUGUGACGGUAGUGGUAGAAGAAGCACCGGCUAACUACGUGCCAGCCGCCGCUGUAA